Molecule: ribosomal RNA, 566 nt
Filed under: uncultured bacterium
Lineage: Bacteria
Description: partial 16S ribosomal RNA
Rfam family: Bacterial small subunit ribosomal RNA
Source: RNAcentral
UGGGGAAUAUUGGACAAUGGGCGAAAGCCUGAUCCAGCAAUGCCGCGUGAGUGAUGAAGGCCUUAGGGUUGUAAAGCUCUUUUACCCGGGAUGAUAAUGACAGUACCGGGAGAAUAAGCUCCGGCUAACUUCGUGCCAGCAGCCGCGGUAAUACGAGGGGAGCUAGCGUUGUUCGGAAUUACUGGGCGUAAAGCGCGCGUAGGCGGUUUUUUAAGUCAGAGGUGAAAGCCCGGGGCUCAACCCCGGAAUAGCCUUUGAAACUGGAAAACUAGAAUCUUGGAGAGGUCAGUGGAAUUCCGAGUGUAGAGGUGAAAUUCGUAGAUAUUCGGAAGAACACCAGUGGCGAAGGCGACUGACUGGACAAGUAUUGACGCUGAGGCGCGAAAAGCGUGGGGAGCAAACAGGAUUAGAUACCCCUGGUAGUCCACGCCGUAAAACGAUGAUAACUAGCUGUCCGGGCUCAUAGAGCUUGGGUGGCGCAGCUAACGCAUUAAGUUAUCCGCCUGGGGAGUACGGUCGCAAGAUUAAAAACUUAAAUGAAUUGACGGGGGUCAUAGCUGUUUCCU